This 253-nucleotide ribosomal RNA is filed under the name uncultured bacterium. RNAcentral's name for it is "partial 16S ribosomal RNA". It matches the Rfam family "Bacterial small subunit ribosomal RNA", at positions 524 to 776 of the family's 1533-position model. The record is from RNAcentral.
UACGGAGGGUGCAAACGUUGCUCGGAAUCAUUGGGCGUAAAGCGCACGUAGGCGGUCGGCUAUGUCGGAUGUGAAAGCCUCGGGCUUAACCCGAGAAGGGCAUCCGAAACUGGCCGGCUUGAGUACGGAAGAGGGUCUCGGAAUUCCCGGUGUAGCAGUGAAAUGCGUAGAGAUCGGGAGGAACAUCAGUUGCGAAGGCGGCUCUCUGGACCAGCACUGACACUGAGGCACGAAAGCGUGGGGAGCAAACAGG